RNAcentral lists this unclassified non-coding RNA (392 nucleotides) under fungal sp. RNAcentral's name for it is "partial internal transcribed spacer region". The stretch from base 1 to 46 matches the Rfam family "Eukaryotic small subunit ribosomal RNA", at positions 1786 to 1831 of the family's 1831-position model. The record is from RNAcentral. Lineage: Eukaryota; Fungi.
AAGUCGUAACAAGGUUUCCGUAGGUGAACCUGCGGAAGGAUCAUUAACACGUAUCCACGUAUCAACCAAUGAGAACUCAUUUCACCUCUCCCUAUGCUGAGAAUGAAUUGGCAACUUGAUAUAGGCGAUAGACUGGGCUGCCGCAAGGCGCCGACCUAUAGAAGUCACUUAUUAAAGCGAAAGUUUUAAUAGACAAUUGUAUUUCAGUAUUAGGCUUCGUUUCUUCGAUUUGAUUCCUAUCUAUAAUCGUGUUGAAGAAACACUAUAUUAACCAAUUUCACCCCUUUUUGCUAGUUGACUUUUAUAUGUUGUUCUUUGCGUAAGCAAGGUUCACACGUUUAAUUAUUUGAACGUUAAAAAUACAACUCUUAGCAAUGGAUAUCUAGGUUCUC